Non-coding RNA from Gloeopeniophorella convolvens, 91 nucleotides. The record is from the annotation of a GenBank genome assembly. NCBI's taxonomy places the organism in Eukaryota, Fungi, Basidiomycota, Agaricomycetes, Russulales.
GGCCCAAUGGUCUAGUGGUACGAUGCUCGCUUUGGGUUGGCUUCGGCCGGACACUUGCGAGCGGUCCUGGGUUCGAACCCCAGUUGGGCCC